Molecule: long non-coding RNA, 314 nt
Filed under: Lonchura striata (white-rumped munia)
Lineage: Eukaryota; Metazoa; Chordata; Aves; Passeriformes; Estrildidae
Description: domestica (Bengalese finch) lncRNA (ENSLSDG00000000480.1)
Source: RNAcentral
CCAGUAAAACCCAGUAAAACGCGGCCGGGCCACGCCCCUUUAAGCCACGCCCCCAGAGAACGUGAUGACGUCAUUGACUGGCCACGCCUUUAUUGGGUGGGGGGGGGAAGGCACUGGGGGGAACUGGGGUGAACUGGGAGGGACUGGGACGAACUGGGACAAACUGGGAGGGACUGGGAUGAACUGGGAUGAACCGGUGUCAGAUGCGUCCGGCGUGCCUCAGUUUCCCCAGGGCACUCUAAAUCCUCUGUACAGCACCGGGACAAAUCGGAACAAACCGGAACAAACUGGGGUAGAACUGGGAUAUACUGGGA